CUUAACCCGAAUUGCUCAUGUAAGUUGUUCUGUAUAAGAGCAUCUGAUAAAUUACUAAAAUGUCAAUGUAAAAUUAUAUGUUAGCCCCGAUAUGUUAGCUCCGAUAUGUUAGCCCCGAUAUGUUAGCCCUGAUAUGUUAGCCCCGAUAUGUUAGCCCUGAUAUGUUAGCUCCGAUAUGUUAGCCCUGAUAUGUUAGCCCUGAUAUGAUAUCUCCGAUAUGUUAGCCCUGAUAUGUUAGCCCUGAUAUGUUAGCUCCAAUAUGUUAGCUCCGAUAUGUUACCCUGAUAUGUUAGCCCCGAUAUGUUAGCCCUGAUAUGUUAGCUCCGAUAUGUUAGCCCUGAUAUGUUAGCCCUGAUAUGUUAGCCCUGAUAUGUUAGCUCCAAUAUGUUAGCGCCGAUAUAUUAGCCCCGAUAUGUUAGCUCAGACAUGUUAGCCCUGAUAUAUUAGCCCCGAUAUGUUAGCUCAGACAUGUUAGCCC
This is a long non-coding RNA of Oncorhynchus tshawytscha (Chinook salmon), 478 nucleotides long. The record is from Ensembl. Lineage: Eukaryota; Metazoa; Chordata; Actinopteri; Salmoniformes; Salmonidae.